Molecule: ribosomal RNA, 253 nt
Filed under: uncultured bacterium
Lineage: Bacteria
Description: partial 16S ribosomal RNA
Rfam family: Bacterial small subunit ribosomal RNA
Source: RNAcentral
UACGUAGGGGGCAAGCGUUGUCCGGAAUCAUUGGGCGUAAAGAGCGUGUAGGCGGCCCGAUAAGUCCGCCGUGAAAGUCCAGGGCUCAACCCUGGAAUGCCGGUGGAAACUGUCGGGCUGGAGUCCGGAAGAGGCGAGUGGAAUUCCUGGUGUAGCGGUGAAAUGCGCAGAUAUCAGGAGGAACACCGGUGGCGAAGGCGGGUCUCUGGGCCGAUAUCGACGCUGAGGAGCGAAAGCGUGGGGAGCGAACAGG